RNAcentral lists this signal recognition particle RNA (99 nucleotides) under Bizionia saleffrena. RNAcentral's name for it is "signal recognition particle sRNA small type". It matches the Rfam family "Bacteroidales small SRP", at positions 9 to 102 of the family's 107-position model. Rfam says of the family: The non-coding component of the signal recognition particle in Bacteroides Lineage: Bacteria; Pseudomonadati; Bacteroidota; Flavobacteriia; Flavobacteriales; Flavobacteriaceae. The record is from RNAcentral.
CGGCAAGUCCUACACAACUAGCUCCUGUUGAAUCCUCCAGGUCGGGAACGAAGCAAAGGUAAAUAGUCGUAGCAGUGUGAUGUAGGGAGCUUGCCUUUU